Small nuclear RNA from Boleophthalmus pectinirostris (great blue-spotted mudskipper), 192 nucleotides. RefSeq annotates it as U2 spliceosomal RNA. The record is from RefSeq and is a predicted model, not a curated record. Lineage: Eukaryota; Metazoa; Chordata; Actinopteri; Gobiiformes; Gobiidae. The transcript has a single exon.
AUCGCUUCUCGGCCUUUUGGCUAAGAUCAAGUGUAGUAUCUGUUCUUAUCAGUUUAAUAUCUGAUACGUCCCCUACCCGGGGACCAUGUAUUAAAUUGAUUUUUGGAGCAGGGAGACGGAACCCGGGGCUCGCUCCGUCCGCUCCACGCAUCCGCCCGGUAUUGCAGUACCUCCGGGACCGGUGCGCCUCUU